CAGUAGCCACGGGAAUACGUAGGUGGCAAGCGUUGUCCGGAAUUAUUGGGCGUAAAGCGCGCGCAGGCGGAUCAGUCAGUCUGUCUUAAAAGUUCGGGGCUUAACCCCGUGAGGGGAUGGAAACUGCUGAUCUAGAGUAUCGAAGAGGAAAGUGGAAUUCCACGUGUAGCGGUGAAAUGCGUAGAGAUGUGGAGGAACACCAGUGGCGAAGGCGACUCUCUGGUCUGUAACUGACGCUGAGGAGCGAAAGCGUGGGGAGCGAACAGGAUUAGAUACCCCCGUAGUCCCUGUCUCUUAUACA
Molecule: ribosomal RNA, 301 nt
Filed under: uncultured bacterium
Lineage: Bacteria
Description: partial 16S ribosomal RNA
Rfam family: Bacterial small subunit ribosomal RNA
Source: RNAcentral